RNAcentral lists this ribosomal RNA (301 nucleotides) under uncultured bacterium. RNAcentral's name for it is "partial 16S ribosomal RNA". It matches the Rfam family "Bacterial small subunit ribosomal RNA", at positions 509 to 807 of the family's 1533-position model. The record is from RNAcentral.
CAGCCGCCGCGGUAAUACGAAGGGUGCAAGCGUUAAUCGGAAUUACUGGGCGUAAAGCGUGCGUAGGCGGUUUGUUAAGUCUGCUGUGAAAUCCCCGGGCUCAACCUGGGAAUGGCAGUGGAUACUGGCAAGCUAGAGUGUGUCAGAGGAUGGUGGAAUUCCCGGUGUAGCGGUGAAAUGCGUAGAGAUCGGGAGGAACAUCGGUGGCGAAGGCGGCCAUCUGGGACAACACUGACGCUGAGGCACGAAAGCGUGGGGAGCAAACAGGAUUAGAUACCCGAGUAGUCCCUGUCUCUUAUAC